RNAcentral lists this ribosomal RNA (450 nucleotides) under uncultured bacterium. RNAcentral's name for it is "partial 16S ribosomal RNA". It matches the Rfam family "Bacterial small subunit ribosomal RNA", at positions 354 to 796 of the family's 1533-position model. The record is from RNAcentral.
GUGGGGAAUUUUGGACAAUGGGCGAAAGCCUGAUCCAGCCAUGCCGCGUGUGUGAAGAAGGUCUUCGGAUUGUAAAGCACUUUAAGUUGGGAGGAAGGGCAGUAAGUUAAUACCUUGCUGUUUUGACGUUACCGACAGAAUAAGCACCGGCUAACUUCGUGCCAGCAGCCGCGGUAAUACGAAGGGUGCAAGCGUUAAUCGGAAUUACUGGGCGUAAAGCGCGCGUAGGUGGUUUUGUAAGUUGGAGGUGAAAUCCCCGGGCUCAACCUGGGAACUGCCUCCAAAACUGCAUGACUAGAGUACGGUAGAGGGUAGUGGAAUUGCCUGUGUAGCGGUGAAAUGCGUAGAUAUAGGAAGGAACACCAGUGGCGAAGGCGACUACCUGGACUGAUACUGACACUGAGGUGCGAAAGCGUGGGGAGCAAACAGGAUUAGAUACCCUAGUAGUCC